GGGGGAAAGCUCCUCCUACAUAAGCUACAUAUAAUCUACCAUCGGUUAAAAAGUCAUUGUUGAUUCCUGCAGGUGGGGCAGAACCAUUUCCCUUUGAACCUUGUUUCUGGCGUCAGUCCAACGCAUGAAUAAUGGAACCAUUCACCUCCCUCACACUGUGGAUCGAAAACAACCAAAUGAAAAGUAGAUGAUACAAGCUGACGGUAAAGAUGUUGGGCAAAUUAUUAUAGACGACAGAUAAAUACCAGGAAGAGAUCGGGCAAAAUUAACAACAAAAAGCCAUUACGUCCCAUCUACAGUUUAGUUUGAUAUUAUAUAAAAUGAAGAUUUUGAUCUAACAAAAUUCAAAAGCAUUAAGUUCUGAUGAGAAGUACUCUCAGUGUAAAUGUUAAGAACGAAGAUAUGAAAACUAACAAAUGGAAUUCCAAAUUGAAGCUGAUGCUUUAGGAAAAUAACACCUACGUUCCUGGAUUUAAUGUUAAAACAGUCCCAAAAGAAUUUUCAAAUAGAAAAUCAUAGAGGAAAACAGAAAGAAGAAGAAUGCUAGCAAAACAAUUUUCUAUUCACUUAUUUAUGUCAGUUACUGUCAGUUGAUUGGAAGUUCUUGAACAGAUAAAAGAUGCAGCUAAAAACAAACUUGACUUGCAGAAUGCCUCGUAGAAGAAAAUGUUCAAUUCAAUGUGAAAAUCCGCAAGCAAUAAUAAACCAGAUAAUAUAGUGCAGGAAACUUACAUUUUCAUUGUCACAUGCAAUCAUAUCUCCAAAUGACACCUGAAAAUAUGGAGAACAAAAAGUAUAGGUUUGGUUAAAAAAGUAUUCUGUACGUAUUUAUGGUUAGUACAUAAUGUAAAUUGUUUAUAUAGGUUGUACAAAACCUGAUGGCAGACACAAUAUGUUGGCUCAUUUGGAUCAAUAGGCUGAUCAACAUCAACAGAUGCUGGAAUAUUUUUCUUAUGACUGCUUGGAGGAGGCAUAAAUUCAAUAUCCAUAUCCUGCUCUCUGCCCCAAUCCCUUUCUCUAAACUUCCUU
Molecule: long non-coding RNA, 1029 nt
Filed under: Musa acuminata (dwarf banana)
Lineage: Eukaryota; Viridiplantae; Streptophyta; Magnoliopsida; Zingiberales; Musaceae
Description: long non-coding RNA (MACU_LNC002476)
Source: RNAcentral